GAUGAACGCUGGCGGCGUGCCUAAUACAUGCAAGUCGAGCGAAUGGAUUAAGAGCUUGCUCUUAUGAAGUUAGCGGCGGACGGGUGAGUAACACGUGGGUAACCUGCCCAUAAGACUGGGAUAACUCCGGGAAACCGGGGCUAAUACCGGAUAACAUUUUGAACCGCAUGGUUCGAAAUUGAAAGGGGGCCUCGGCGGGCCCUUAUGGCUGGACCCGAGUCGCAUUAGCUAGUUGGUGAGGUAACGGCUCACCAAGGCAACGAUGCGUAGCCGACCUGAGAGGGUGAUCGGCCACACUGGGACUGAGACACGGCCCAGACGCCGACGGGAGGCAGCAGUAGGGAAUCUUCCGCAAUGGACGAAAGUCUGACGGAGCAACGCCGCGUGAGUGAUGAAGGCUUUCGGGUCGUAAAACUCUGUUGUUAGGGAAGAACAAGUGCUAGUUGAAUAAGCUGGCACCUUGACGGUACCUAACCAGAAAGCCACGGCUAACUACGUGCCAGCAGCCGCGGUAA
RNAcentral lists this ribosomal RNA (515 nucleotides) under uncultured bacterium. Its description in RNAcentral is "partial 16S ribosomal RNA". It matches the Rfam family "Bacterial small subunit ribosomal RNA", at positions 28 to 523 of the family's 1533-position model. The record is from RNAcentral.